AUGCACUGCUCCCACCGCCGGCCGACAACUGCCACACCGCAGGAAUCUUGCGCCCACCGGGGCGAGACCCUGCAGAGACAGAGCCCCACAAACAGCUCACCUGAGAAGCGGAACGCCAUGGUGCCAGCGGGCUCUGUCCCGGUGUCUCGAACCCGCGCCGCGGACUGCCUGGCCCCUCUAGGACUUGACUGCAAGCAGGCGAAGCGGAGAGAAGCUGCUGCAGCCUCCCGGCGCGAGGAGGGAGGAAGGAAGCCAAGCCGUCACCAGCGAGCCCGCGAUCUUCCUCUUUCUGAAGUGGUUACUGUGACACAGGAAAGAAAACCCUCAGUUCUAGUUUCCCCCCCCCCUCCAGGAGCUGGGCGUGGCGGACCCACUGCAGCGGUGCUGAUAAAGGCUUUGCGAAAAAGUUGAUCAAUUAUUGCACCAUGUGUGGAGGAGCUCGUACGGGCGCGGUGACGUCAUCGCCCUCCCUGCGCGUAGCAGGGACCUCAGCCGCCUGGGUUGGGGGGGGUCUCCUUUAGCUCGCUCGGCUGGUUCCCUGUGGCGUCACGCCGGGAGACCCGGGUUCGUGUUGCGGGACGAACCGGCGGAGGGCACGAGCCCGCCCGGAAACCGCGACGCUCACACGUGCAAGGAACAACAACGCCCAAGGAUGAUGGGGAUUAUGGGGCGUUUUAGGCAAACGUUUGGCUUGACCCGCUUGGUUUAGGGGCCGACCUCCUGGCCAGAGGACGAGGAGACUGGGACCCUCCAUGCAGAAUGAGGGGUGACCAAGGGGCGGCUCCAGAGGUGGAGGUGGGGGUGCAGAAAGUCACUUCCUCUCGGGAGAGGAAGUGACGUCAGGGGUGAGGGCGCGCCAAUGACGGCCGAGUCGGACGGAACUGGGCUGUUGAUUUCCUCCCCAGCUUUCGUCAUUAAACUCCAUGGAGGGAAAGGUAACAAAACAGAGGUGGGGUGGGGAGCGCCAGAAUUGUUUGGGAAACGAAUCCCAGAGAGCCUCAUCCCGCCAAAGCCAGGGUGUUUCCCCCAACAUGGCUGGGCAGCUUGCUCCACAGCCCCGUGGAUAAAGAAGAAGUGCUUCCUGUUCCUUCUCAGCUUUCCAUCCAGCCUCCCCGGCUCAAGUUGAACCCUGCCUUCUGGAGCCGUGUGCUGGGUCAGUGAAAGUGAGGAGUCUGAAUGCUGGUAUCGGCUCUCCUUGUGACCAGCCCUCUUCAAGACUGAAAAGGUCCAGUUCCUCCAGACCUGUCAGUGGAGGACUCUCCCCUUGAGCUCGGGAACGUCUCGCUGCUCCUCUUUGAGCAGGUUUCCAGAGCUGCAGAUAACGCUCCAUUUGGAUUCUGUACUUUUAACUAGGCAUCCUCAUAACUUCCGUGUCUCUUUAAUGUAUUCAAACUGUUUGUCUAGAAGAUGUGAGUCAUGUGUCAACAAACACUAAGAAGCACCAAAGUCUUUUUCACGAGUAGCUUCUGACUUCUGACUCCACCAGAGCAAUGCCCUUCACCCGCUGGUAUAUGAAUGCUGUUUUGAUGCAGAGCUUUUUCCUGGGGGUAUUUCCAGCUGGGGUCUCCUGCACUGAAGAUAUGAUUUGUGCAGAGAAGUGUAGCAGGGUACAGACACUGUCUCCCAGUGUCAGUCAGUAAGAGUCACUACUGAGGUUAGACAUCUCCUGCGCCAGGGGACCUGCAGACAAGAGAGGCUGCCCUGUUCGUGCCUGAUAAGUGAUAAGACCACAGCCAGGCAAGGAUACCCUCAAUACUCACAGCAGGA
Molecule: long non-coding RNA, 1767 nt
Organism: Lepisosteus oculatus (spotted gar)
Lineage: Eukaryota; Metazoa; Chordata; Actinopteri; Semionotiformes; Lepisosteidae
Source: Ensembl